This 675-nucleotide long non-coding RNA is filed under the name Bos grunniens (domestic yak). RNAcentral's name for it is "lncRNA (ENSBGRG00000008059.1)". Lineage: Eukaryota; Metazoa; Chordata; Mammalia; Artiodactyla; Bovidae. The record is from RNAcentral.
CAGGCACUCACCCCAGGCGGUCAGACCCGGGACGCGGGCGCCCUAGAGCUCGGGAGGCGACCUGUCGCGCCCCCUCCUCCGGAUCCAGGCGGGGAGGGCAGGAGCGGGGCCGGCCCAACUAGGGUGGAAGGGAGGCUCCCCGCCUCCCACCUCUGCGGACCACGGUCAACGCCACGGUCGCUGGUCCUGGCCGCGAGCCUACUGCACCCCUGAGCAGAGAGCUUCCCCUCAAGCCCCUCAGCUCCGACUUCCCAGCCUGACAACUGUUCAGGGGAGCUCUUGCGAUGCUGCACAGGGGGCGACCAGAUUCUCAGGGCCCAAAACAGCUGCCAGGCAAGCCUCUCUCUGUUGGCUCUUCUCCGAGCUCCUGGACACUGGCAGGAUCCUUAUGAUCAUCAUCUCAGACAGAAGAACAAGUGAGUUUUUGUUUUUAUUGCCUAUUAUUGUUCAUGUCGCUUAGGGCUGAGAUUGAGUUUUUAAAUCACAGUAGAUGCCUUUGAAGAAGCUUAGGACCAAAAGACAGACUUUCCCCCAAGGCCUAUAACCAGCUAGUGGCAGAGUUUGUAUUCAUUCCUGUCUCUACCACACCACCCUUUAUUUCUGUCUCUCUAUAGUGUCUACAUACUAGUUGCUCAACAAAUUGUUAACUGGUUUAAUCUGAUGCAGUUAAGUGAA